RNAcentral lists this ribosomal RNA (235 nucleotides) under uncultured Actinomycetales bacterium. Its description in RNAcentral is "partial 16S ribosomal RNA". It matches the Rfam family "Bacterial small subunit ribosomal RNA", at positions 96 to 334 of the family's 1533-position model. The record is from RNAcentral. Lineage: Bacteria; Bacillati; Actinomycetota; Actinomycetes; Actinomycetales.
UGGCGAACGGGUGAGUAACACGUGUGUGAUCUGCCUUGCACUUCGGGAUAAGCUUGGGAAACUGGGUCUAAUACCGGAUAGGACAGCUGUUUAGUGUCAGUUGUGGAAAGUUUUUUCGGUGCAAGAUGAGCUCGCGGCCUAUCAGCUUGUUGGUGGGGUAAUGGCCUACCAAGGCGUCGACGGGUAGCCGGCCUGAGAGGGUGUACGGCCACAUUGGGACUGAGAUACGGCCCAG